AUAUUGCCAGGAGGAAGCUGGGAUUACGCAGCUACAAAGUAGCUCGUAUUCACUUCCUCAACGACGCGAUGA
RNAcentral lists this microRNA precursor (72 nucleotides) under Heligmosomoides polygyrus. RNAcentral describes it as "microRNA hpo-mir-10082 precursor". Lineage: Eukaryota; Metazoa; Nematoda; Chromadorea; Rhabditida; Heligmosomidae. The record is from miRBase by way of RNAcentral.